RNAcentral lists this ribosomal RNA (492 nucleotides) under uncultured bacterium. RNAcentral describes it as "partial 16S ribosomal RNA". It matches the Rfam family "Bacterial small subunit ribosomal RNA", at positions 29 to 507 of the family's 1533-position model. The record is from RNAcentral.
AGUGAACGCUGGCGGUAGGCCUAACACAUGCAAGUCGAACGGCAGCACAGUAAGAGCUUGCUCUUACGGGUGGCGAGUGGCGGACGGGUGAGGAAUACAUCGGAAUCUACUUUUUCGUGGGGGAUAACGUAGGGAGACUUACGCUAAUACCGCAUACGACCUACGGGUGAAAGCAGGGGAUCUUCGGACCUUGCGCGAUUGAAUGAGCCGAUGUCGGAUUAGCUAGUUGGCGGGGUAAAGGCCCACCAAGGCGACGAUCCGUAGCUGGUCUGAGAGGAUGAUCAGCCACACUGGAACUGAGCCACGGUCCAGACUCCUACGGGAGGCAGCAGUGGGGAAUAUUGGACAAUGGGCGAAAGCCUGAUCCAGCCAUACCGCGUGGGUGAAGAAGGCCUUCGGGUUGUAAAGCCCUUUUGUUGGGAAAGAAAAGCAGCAGGUUAAUACCCCGCUGUUCUGACGGUACCCAAAGAAUAAGCACCGGCUAACUUCGUG